UUUCCGUAGGUGAACCUGCGGAAGGAUCAUUACUGAGAUGGGGUCCCUCGGGGCCCGACCUCCAACCCUUUGUGAAUCGUACUCGUUGCUUCGGGGGCGACCCUGCCGUCCGCGGCUGAGCGCCCCCGGGGUCAAUCAAACACUGCAUUCUCUGCGUCGGAGUAUUAGUAAAUCUAAUCAAAACUUUCAACAACGGAUCUCUUGGUUCUGGCAUCGAUGAAGAACGCAGC
RNAcentral lists this unclassified non-coding RNA (230 nucleotides) under uncultured fungus. Its description in RNAcentral is "sequence contains ITS1, 5.8S rRNA gene". The stretch from base 182 to 230 matches the Rfam family "5.8S ribosomal RNA", at positions 1 to 49 of the family's 154-position model. Lineage: Eukaryota; Fungi. The record is from RNAcentral.